RNAcentral lists this ribosomal RNA (253 nucleotides) under uncultured bacterium. RNAcentral's name for it is "partial 16S ribosomal RNA". It matches the Rfam family "Bacterial small subunit ribosomal RNA", at positions 524 to 776 of the family's 1533-position model. The record is from RNAcentral.
UACGUAGGGGGCAAGCGUUGUCCGGAAUCAUUGGGCGUAAAGAGCGUGUAGGCGGCCAGAAAAGUCCGCUGUGAAAACUCGAGGCUCAACUUCGAGCUGUCGGUGGAAACUUUAUGGCUAGAGUCCGGAAGAGGAGAAUGGAAUUCCUGGUGUAGCGGUGAAAUGCGCAGAUAUCAGGAAGAACACCCGUGGCGAAGGCGGUUCUCUGGGACGGUACUGACGCUGAGACGCGAAAGCGUGGGGAGCGAACAGG